RNAcentral lists this ribosomal RNA (458 nucleotides) under uncultured bacterium. Its description in RNAcentral is "bacterial SSU rRNA". It matches the Rfam family "Bacterial small subunit ribosomal RNA", at positions 34 to 507 of the family's 1533-position model. The record is from RNAcentral.
CGCUGGCGGCGUGCUUAACACAUGCAAGUCGAACGGUAAGGCCCUUCGGGGUACACGAGUGGCGAACGGGUGAGUAACACGUGGGUGAUCUGCCCUGCACUUCGGGAUAAGCCUGGGAAACUGGGUCUAAUACCGGAUAGGGACUCCUGGGCUUCAUGGUUGGGGGUGUAAAGCUUUUGCGGUGUGGGAUGGGCCCGCGGCCUAUCAGCUUGUUGGUGGGGUAAUGGCCUACCAAGGCGACGACGGGUAGCCGGCCUGAGAGGGUGACCGGCCACACUGGGACUGAGAUACGGCCCAGACUCCUACGGGAGGCAGCAGUGGGGAAUAUUGCACAAUGGGCGCAAGCCUGAUGCAGCGACGCCGCGUGAGGGAUGACGGCCUUCGGGUUGUAAACCUCUUUCAAUAGGGACGAAGCGCAAGUGACGGUACCUAUAGAAGAAGGACCGGCCAACUACGUG